CAAAAACAUUGUCUCAUGUAAUAUAUAUGAGGUAACUCCUGCCCAGUGACACUGUUCAACGGCCGCGGUAUCCUAACCGUGCAAAGGUAGCAUAAUCAUUUGCCUAUUAAUUAUAGGCUGGAAUGAACGGAUUAACGAAAUAUUACCUGUCUCAAUUAGCAACACAAAAAUUAUUCUCUAUCUGAAGAUAGAUAGAUAUGCUCGAAGGACAAGAAGACCCUAUAGAGCUUAAUUUUACCUGUAGACCAUCUAUAGUAAUAUUCGGUUGGGGCGACCCAGGGAUAUAAAUCACCCUAAACACCUAAGACACAUAAAUCAAAUAAAUGACCCUAAAUGAUCACCAAAUCAAGCUACCUUAGGGAUAACAGGCUAAUCCCACUCAAGAGUUCUUAUCAACAGUGGGGUUUGGCACCUCGAUGUUGGCUUAGGGAAUCUAUGUGGCGCAAAAGUUACAAUAAGAUGGUUUGUUCAACCAAUAAUACCCUACGUGAUCUGAUU
RNAcentral lists this ribosomal RNA (498 nucleotides) under Amynthas sp. YN201109-08. Its description in RNAcentral is "partial 16S ribosomal RNA". It matches the Rfam family "Bacterial large subunit ribosomal RNA", at positions 1808 to 2610 of the family's 2925-position model. Lineage: Eukaryota; Metazoa; Annelida; Clitellata; Crassiclitellata; Megascolecidae. The record is from RNAcentral.